This 1244-nucleotide ribosomal RNA is filed under the name metagenome. RNAcentral describes it as "bacterial LSU rRNA". It matches the Rfam family "Bacterial large subunit ribosomal RNA", at positions 1564 to 2817 of the family's 2925-position model. The record is from RNAcentral.
UGAAUACGAGAUGCUACGGCGUCGAAGCAGUCUAUGUCAUACUUCCAAGAAAAGCUUGCACUGUCAUAAACAAAUAAUGCCUGUACCAUAACCGACACAGGUGGGUAGGUAGAGUAUACUAAGGGGCGCGAGAUAACUCUCUCUAAGGAACUCGGCAAAAUGACUCCGUAACUUCGGGAGAAGGAGUGCCUUAUUUUAUAAGGUUGCAAUAACAAAAUCCAAGCAACUGUUUACCAAAAACACAGGUCUCCGCUAAGUCGUAAGACGAUGUAUGGGGGCUGACGCCUGCCCAGUGCCAGAAGGUUAAAGAAGUUGGUUAGCAUCCGCGAAGCUGAUAACUGAAGCCCUGGUGAACGGCGGCCGUAACCAUAACGGUCCUAAGGUAGCGAAAUUCCUUGUCGGGUAAGUUCCGACCCGCACGAAAGGCGUAAUGAUUUGGAUACUGUCUCAGAGAGGGGCUCGGUGAAAUAGACUUGUCUGUGAAGAUGCGGACUACCUGCACCAGGACAGAAAGACCCUAUGAAGCUUUACUGUAACUUGAAAUUGAAAUUGGACUUUACUUGCGCAGUAUAGGUGGAAGGCGUUGAGAAUAUUCUUGCGGGAAUGUUGGAGCCAUCAGUGAGAUACCACUCUUGUAAUGUUAGAUUUCUAACUUUGUAUCAUUAUCUGGUCAAAGGACAGUUUCAGGCGGGCAGUUUGACUGGGGCGGUCGCCUCCCAAACGGUAACGGAGGCGCACAAAGGUUUCCUCUGAACGGGUAGAAAUCGUAUCUCGAGUGUAAAGGCAUAAGGAAGCUUGACUGUGAGACCUACAAGUCGAGCAGGGACGAAAGUCGGUCUUAGUGAUCUGACGGUGCUGAGUGGAAAGGCCGUCACUCAACGGAUAAAAGUUACUCUAGGAUAACAGGCUGAUCUCCCCCAAGAGUUCACAUCGACGGGGAGGUUUGGCACCUCGAUGUCGGCUCAUCGCAUCCUGGGGCGGUAGUACGUCCCAAGGGUUGGGCUGUUCGCCCAUGAAAGCGGUACGCGAGCUGGGUUCAGAACGUCGUGAGACAGUUCGGUCCAUAUCCGGUGUAGGCGUUAGAAUAUUGAGAGGAGCCUUCUUUAGUACGAGAGGACCGAGAAGGACAUACCUCUGGUGUACCAGUUAUCGUGCCAACGGUAAACGCUGGGUAGCUAUGUAUGGAGUGGAUAACCGCUGAAAGCAUCUAAGUGGGAAGCCCACCUCAAGAUAAGUAUUCUCGU